UUGCCAGACUCCUACGGGAGGCAGCAGUGGGGAAUAUUGGGCAAUGGGGGAAACCCUGACCCAGCGACGCCGCGUGAGGGAAGAAGGUUUUCGGAUUGUAAACCUCUGUCCUUGGUGACGAUAAUGACGGUAGCCAAGGAGGAAGCCACGGCUAACUACGUGCCAGCAGCCGCGGUAAUACGGAGGAUGCGAGCGUUAUCCGGAUUUAUUGGGUUUAAAGGGUGCGUAGGCGGAAUGCCAAGUCAGCGGUAAAAUCGCGGGGCUCAACCUCGCUCCGCCGUUGAAACUGGCGUUCUUGAGUGGGCGAGAAGUAUGCGGAAUGCGUGGUGUAGCGGUGAAAUGCAUAGAUAUCACGCAGAACUCCGAUUGCGAAGGCAGCAUACCGGCGCCCAACUGACGCUGAAGCACGAAAGCGUGGGUAUCGAACAGGAUUAGAUACCCCCGUAAG
RNAcentral lists this ribosomal RNA (448 nucleotides) under uncultured bacterium. RNAcentral's name for it is "bacterial SSU rRNA". It matches the Rfam family "Bacterial small subunit ribosomal RNA", at positions 328 to 793 of the family's 1533-position model. The record is from RNAcentral.